UGGCUCAGAGUGAACGCUGGCGGUAGGCCUAACACAUGCAAGUCGAACGGCAGCACAGCAGUAGCAAUACUGUGGGUGGCGAGUGGCGGACGGGUGAGGAAUACAUCGGAAUCUACCUUGUCGUGGGGGAUAACGUAGGGAAACUUACGCUAAUACCGCAUACGACCUUCGGGUGAAAGUGGGGGACCGCAAGGCCUCACGCGAUUAGAUGAGCCGAUGUCGGAUUAGCUAGUUGGCGGGGUAAUGGCCCACCAAGGCGACGAUCCGUAGCUGGUCUGAGAGGAUGAUCAGCCACACUGGAACUGAGACACGGUCCAGACUCCUACGGGAGGCAGCAGUGGGGAAUAUUGGACAAUGGGCGCAAGCCUGAUCCAGCCAUACCGCGUGGGUGAAGAAGGCCUUCGGGUUGUAAAGCCCUUUUGUUGGGAAAGAAAUCCUAUCGAUUAAUACUCGGUGGGGAUGACGGUACCCAAAGAAUAAGCACCGGCUAACUUCGUGCCAGCAGCCGCGGUAAUACGAAGGGUGCAAGCGUUACUCGGAAUUACUGGGCGUAAAGCGUGCGUAGGUGGUUGUUUAAGUCUGUUGUGAAAGCCCUGGGCUCAACCUGGGAAUUGCAGUGGAUACUGGGCGACUAGAGUGUGGUAGAGGAUAGUGGAAUUUCCGGUGUAGCAGUGAAAUGCGUAGAGAUCGGAAGGA
Molecule: ribosomal RNA, 696 nt
Filed under: Pseudoxanthomonas sacheonensis
Lineage: Bacteria; Pseudomonadati; Pseudomonadota; Gammaproteobacteria; Lysobacterales; Lysobacteraceae
Description: bacterial SSU rRNA
Rfam family: Bacterial small subunit ribosomal RNA
Source: RNAcentral